This 422-nucleotide long non-coding RNA is filed under the name Bos mutus (wild yak). RNAcentral describes it as "lncRNA (ENSBMUG00000021639.1)". Lineage: Eukaryota; Metazoa; Chordata; Mammalia; Artiodactyla; Bovidae. The record is from RNAcentral.
UUUAAGUGCAAUCUUCUUAGUCAUCACUUUCAUUUCUGUCUUCUAGGGAAAUCUGACACAGCUAGAAAGCAAUGGAAAACACUAAGGGUUGCAUCAGAUGUUGAAGAGAAACUGAUCAUGUCAUGGAGAUAAAAAUGAUCUAAGACGGAUUUUUAAAAAGCUGGUCAUUUAAAGAAAAAAAUCUAACAACUCUGGACUGUUGACAAACAUUCCCUUUUGCGGUCGCAACUCGUCUUGAAGCCAAAAUGAGUUCCUCUUCCUUGCCCCAAUUACCAUCUGUGAGUAUCCUCCAACACUCCAGUCAACUCACACGCCAUCUCUGAAGGAAGAAACUCUUGUGACUUCAACCCUCACCUUUGAGAACAACUUCUACAUCAGUAAUUCAAGCACGGGAUAGAGCAGGUACUUCACAAACACCCUUA